This 253-nucleotide ribosomal RNA is filed under the name uncultured bacterium. Its description in RNAcentral is "partial 16S ribosomal RNA". It matches the Rfam family "Bacterial small subunit ribosomal RNA", at positions 524 to 776 of the family's 1533-position model. The record is from RNAcentral.
UACGUAGGGCGCAAGCGUUAUCCGGAAUUAUUGGGCGUAAAGAGCUCGUAGGCGGUUUGUCGCGUCUGCCGUGAAAGUCCGGGGCUCAACUCCGGAUCUGCGGUGGGUACGGGCAGACUAGAGUGAUGUAGGGGAGACUGGAAUUCCUGGUGUAGCGGUGAAAUGCGCAGAUAUCAGGAGGAACACCGAUGGCGAAGGCAGGUCUCUGGGCAUUAACUGACGCUGAGGGGCGAAAGCGUGGGGAGCGAACGGG